RNAcentral lists this long non-coding RNA (1255 nucleotides) under Meleagris gallopavo (turkey). RNAcentral's name for it is "lncRNA (ENSMGAG00000019971.1)". Lineage: Eukaryota; Metazoa; Chordata; Aves; Galliformes; Phasianidae. The record is from RNAcentral.
AUGCAAGGAAAAAAGCACAAGACCAGUUUAUGCAGAGCGACAAAGAUUCGCAGUCUCACAAAGAGAUCAAAGAAAACUUACUACUCCUUUCAAGCUCAGGAAGCUACAUGUCUUGAGGAAAGAAUGGAUUUGAGAAUAGCAGAAGUGUUUCAAGAUGGAAACCUUGAUGAGGCUAAGCCUUCAGCCUUUAUCUGUGAACAAGACCAGCAUUCCAGCCUUUUCUCAGAAACCCAAACACCUACAAAUACUGGGAAAAAGAGAUCACCGAGUUGCUCAUCAGCUUGUGAGCAUGCACAAGAAAAUACACCAAACUGUCAGUAUAACACAGCACACUGUAUAGAAGGGCAAGCAUUUGAGGCGGCUGCCAUCACAGAUGGCCUUGGUCUGUCAGCUGUAGAAUCUAAAGAGUAUUGCAAACUUGUGCUCGCUGAAACGUUUAGCAUCUCCUACGGUAAAGAACAGAACCUUCAGGUAGAAUAUACUGAGGGAAAAAAAUACAUCAGUGAAGAGUUGAAGUGUAAGAAAGAAGACUCAAUACUGAAAAGAAAGGAAGAUAGUGAAGGUGCAGAUUUGGAGAAAGAAAGAAAGAAACAAAAGCGAAUUAAACUUGAUGUAGACUUAGUAAAUGAGAAGAAAUCAAGACCUAAUAAAGAUGAAAGGCUUAAAAAAAAAACUGCUAAGAAACAGAGGAAAAAGCGCGUAAAGAAUCAACAGAUGUCCCAGAUAGAGAUCAAAACAGAGGCAUUUUGGGAGGACUCUGACUUUAUGUUCUGGUGAGGGUUUUGAUUAGCUUCAUGAGCCUGCUCAAUUUGCAGAUUACCUUUACUAUUUUGUAUCAUACCAUGGCUGUUGUGGUUUUUGUUGGUUUAUUUGUGGUUGUUGUUGUUUUUUAAGCAAAGUUGGGGUUUUCUUGGAAGUGAGAAAAAGUCUGUCUUCUGAAAAUGGUUGGUAAUAGGCAUGCAUCAGUUUUUAAUUAUGUUACCCGUACAACAGUCAUUGUAGUGAUGCAAAAUUGAAAGUAUGAAGGCUCUUCUUGAAAAUACCUCAAACCAAGGGUCAGCAGCUUAAGAUAUGUAAGGGCACUGCAUUGUUCCCAGCAAAGCCAUAUCUGUAACCUUUCCACUGAGUGCUUUUAAAGGAGAGUGAGGAAGGCUUUUGAUCCCAGAAUAAAGCUAGAUUUGUGACUCAGUGCUCUGAAGAACCAGCAACGCUUUGCAUUUGAAAUAGUGUCACCAGACCUUCCUUCAUAAUACAG